UACAGAGGGUGCGAGCGUUAAUCGGAAUUACUGGGCGUAAAGCGCACGUAGGCGGCUUGGUAUGUCGGGUGUGAAAUCCCCGGGCUCAACCUGGGAAUUGCGUUUGAGACUGGUAAGCUAGAGUACAGUAGAGGGAAGUGGAAUUUCCGGUGUAGCGGUGAAAUGCGUAGAUAUCGGAAGGAACAUCAGUGGCGAAGGCGACUUCCUGGACUGUUACU
Molecule: ribosomal RNA, 218 nt
Filed under: uncultured prokaryote
Description: partial 16S ribosomal RNA
Rfam family: Bacterial small subunit ribosomal RNA
Source: RNAcentral